UCGUAGUUGGAUUUCGGGCGGUUGACGACGGUCCGCCUCUGGUGUGCACUGCCGUUCAUCCGCCUUUCUGUCGGGGACGUGCUCCUAGGCUUCAUUGUCUGGGACACGGGUUCGACGAGGUUACUUUGAGUAAAUUAGAGUGUUCAAAGCAGGCAUCGCCUUGAAUAUAUUAGCAUGGAAUAGCACGAUAGGACUCUGGCCUAUUUUGCUGGUCUGUAGGACCGGAGUAAUGAUUAAGAGGGACAGUCGGGGGCAUUCGUAUUUCAUUGUCAGAGGUGAAAUUCUUGGAUUUAUGAAAGACGAACUUCUGCGAAAGCAUUUGCCAAGGAUGUUUUCAUUGAUCAAGAACGAAAGUUGGGGGCUCGAAGACGAUUAGAUACCGUCGUAGUCUCAACCAUAAACGAUGCCGACCAGGGAUUAGGCAGUGUUCUUUUGAUGACCUGCCUAGCACCUUGAGAGAAAUCAGAGUUUUUGGGUUCCGGGGGGAGUAUGGUCGCAAGGCUGAAACUUAAAGGAAUUGACGGAAGGGCACCACCAGGCGUUAAGUUCUUAGCUAUUAAGCUCUAGCGCCUAAGAGUCACGCCGAAAGGCAUGUGGCUAGUGGAGUUUAUUAAUAAUUGAACUCUGCGACACUAUCGAA
RNAcentral lists this ribosomal RNA (640 nucleotides) under Chlamydomonas sp. RCC2607. RNAcentral describes it as "bacterial SSU rRNA". It matches the Rfam family "Eukaryotic small subunit ribosomal RNA", at positions 628 to 1537 of the family's 1831-position model. Lineage: Eukaryota; Viridiplantae; Chlorophyta; Chlorophyceae; Chlamydomonadales; Chlamydomonadaceae. The record is from RNAcentral.